Molecule: long non-coding RNA, 1142 nt
Filed under: Musa acuminata (dwarf banana)
Lineage: Eukaryota; Viridiplantae; Streptophyta; Magnoliopsida; Zingiberales; Musaceae
Description: long non-coding RNA (MACU_LNC003657)
Source: RNAcentral
AAAAUAUAUUUUAAACUAAGAACUAUUUAUCCCUAAAAUUAUAUCUAAUCUCAUUUAAAAUAUAAAAUAUUAAUUUAAGAUAUUUUAAAAUAUAUUUUAGCAUCUUAACAGAUUCUGCUUCCAGCACAUAAGAGUUAUUUCUUGGUGUUAUUUCACACUCAGUCUUUUCAUAUUUAUUAGGAGCUAAUCUAAUACAUACAGAAAGAUGCAUGGAAUGACAUUCUGUACAUGGAAGAAGAAUCACACAAAGGGGAUAUUAAAGUACCAAUCCACCAUUUGUUCCAACACAGUUAUAUCCCUAUAAUUAAGUUACUAAUACAAAGACCUCAAAACAGAAAAGCUAUGAAUGAUCAAACAGCUCCCCCCAUACUUGACCGUUAAUUUGCAUUCAUCACCCGAAACCUCGACGGCUAAGUUACGUAGGCAAGCUAAACAUGUCAUAUGAGUGUUUCUUAGGUGAGCAUCGAUUACUUUUUGUGUCCAUAGACAUACAUAACAAAGAGGACGAACGCCGCCUACAUCUUGCCAAAGGAGUAGAAUGAAUCGGAGAUGUGUCACUUGGGACCCUUUCUUUGUUGGCAGAGAAAGACUAAUGCCUAAUCCUUUCGUCCUUUGUAAAGAUGCUGCUGUUUUCUACGGUUCGCAUAUAAUAAAUAAAUCAAAAAUAAUUUCAAGUGGAUGAAAAUUAAGGAAAAGUCUUAGACGUUAAAAAGAGAUAACCUGUAAGGAUAAAGUACGAACAGUUGUAAUAGAAAUUUGAGGCCACUGCAAACGUCGCCAUUAAUCCUUUGAAUUGUCCAUACGGAGAGGUGGUGGGAGACGAAAGGUAUCAGAUAUGUGAGAGGGGACUAUGUCGAGUUAUUGGACGUCUCUCAACAUCUUGAGCUUGUGAUGAAGGCCCGGCAAAGCCACGUGUGAAGGAAAGCAGACGCCCUUUGGUAGCAUCGAAAGCAACAAGAUGGAUGAACGUCGUCUCACCACUGGAGAGGUCGGCAAUGGAUUCAUGACCUCUGGUCCUAGCAAUACUCAUCAUGGGUCCCUUCGUAAUCCUAAUCCAUUUAGAAUCAUCGUCUAAUCCAAUCCAAGCAAACCAUUCAUGUCUAGUUUCUUUAACUUGUUGUUGUUGCCAUAAUUGAUUCCAC